AGCGAACGCUGGCGGCAGGCUUAACACAUGCAAGUCGAACGGGCGUAGCAAUACGUCAGUGGCAGACGGGUGAGUAACGCGUGGGAACGUACCUUUUGGUUCGGAACAACACAGGGAAACUUGUGCUAAUACCGGAUAAGCCCUUACGGGGAAAGAUUUAUCGCCAAAAGAUCGGCCCGCGUCUGAUUAGCUAGUUGGUGAGGUAACGGCUCACCAAGGCGACGAUCAGUAGCUGGCUGAGAGGAUGAUCAGCCACAUUGGGACUGAGACACGGCCCAAACUCCUACGGGAGGCAGCAGUGGGGAAUAUUGGACAAUGGGCGAAAGCCUGAUCCAGCCAUGCCGCGUGAGUGAUGAAGGCCCUAGGGUUGUAAAGCUCUUUUGUGCGGGAAGAUAAUGACGGUACCGCAAGAAUAAGCCCCGGCUAACUUCGUGCCAGCCGCCGCCGUAAU
Molecule: ribosomal RNA, 451 nt
Filed under: uncultured bacterium
Lineage: Bacteria
Description: bacterial SSU rRNA
Rfam family: Bacterial small subunit ribosomal RNA
Source: RNAcentral